This 544-nucleotide long non-coding RNA is filed under the name Bos indicus x Bos taurus (hybrid cattle). RNAcentral describes it as "lncRNA (ENSBIXG00005013061.1)". Lineage: Eukaryota; Metazoa; Chordata; Mammalia; Artiodactyla; Bovidae. The record is from RNAcentral.
CAACUUGUUAAUUAUGGGUUGCCAAACAGUGCUAGACUCUAGGUCAGUCUGGAACAUCCAGGUUCUAAUCAGAAACUCGGGAGCAAAUUCAACUUGGAGAUGAACAGACGUAUUAUCAGUGACUGCUGUUUGGGCUGCUGUUCAAUUUUGGAAAAUUCCUGAACCCUUGAUUGACUUCUACCGAAAACCAGAGCUGAGUUUCUCCCCCAGAAACGGUCCCGGAACUGUGUGAGCACAGAUAUGUCUGGGAGCUACUGGCUUCCAGCAGGUAAUAUUUGCACUCAUCAGACUUGCGGAAUGUACCAACAUUCUGUGCUGUUUGAACCAGGAUCACUGCCAGGAAAAUGCAACACACAAAAAUUGUUCCAGUUACGAAGAAAGAUUUGUCUGCUACAAAACAAGUUUGAAAUACACUUCUGUGUACAGUAUUUUCUCAGAAUCCUUUUCAGAAGGUGGAAGCAUUUUCCUGGAAAGGUAAUUUUGGCAGAGCUCUCUGCAUGUGUGCCAGGAGGCUGGCUUGGCUGGAGGAGGGGCAAGGGCUGGC